Long non-coding RNA from Gossypium arboreum, 2432 nucleotides. RefSeq lists it as uncharacterized. The transcript has 7 exons. The record is from RefSeq and is a predicted model, not a curated record. Lineage: Eukaryota; Viridiplantae; Streptophyta; Magnoliopsida; Malvales; Malvaceae.
CAGCCCAAAAAAUAAAACAAGGAUCCAGAUUGCAGAACGGGGAAGCUCUAGAGACAUCUUCAUCCUAGCUGUUAUCCAUUACUUAACCCCUCUCCUGAAAAGCAACAAAAAAAAAACAUGGGGAACCGCAGAAACUUCACCAUUAUGCUCCAUUAACUUUCAUUAGAAACAGUCACCCUCAUCAAUGCAUCUUUGAAAUACAUCAAACCCACUGACCAUUCAAGUCUAUUUUCAUUCUCUCCUUCAACGCUGCCUCUUCACCCCCUCAUGGAUUCCAUCCAUCUUCGAUCAGCAUCCACCGCUCCCUCCACGACAGAAGGAAUCAUAUGCAUCAGAUAAGUUGUCUCCCUCUUUUUGAUUCCUUAUGUAGCUAUGAUAUAAGCAACCUUAUUAGAUUCUCUAUGAAUAAAUUACAAGACACAAGACCCAAAACCUAAUCUUAGUUGCUUAGAAUUUUAAUAUAAGUUUCUAUCUUAGAUCUUUCUUCUUCCUCAGCUUACAGUUUACGGAUCACCGAACGAAAAUUUCUUUCGAUUUCAACCUCCCCUAGUCUGAGAUUUAACCUAAGAUUAAGUGCAUGAGGACACGCCAUCGCUUCUGCUGCAAAAACAAACGUAUCGAAGUUGAUUCUUACCAUUAAUCCAUUCGGAGCUACCCAUCUGUCCGUAUGUAUCCUUCUCACUAGUAGAUCAAGAAAGGAAGAAUUCGGACUUAGAUCGAGGAAAGUCGAAGGUUAUCAAGUAGACAGUCCGAGUUGACAAAUUCCGAGUACGAGUUAUCGUAGUUACUGAAGGCUCGGGGAUAGUCAAGGAUCGUCACCACACUAUUGAUCUCAUUUUGGUACUUUUAAAAAUGUAAAUAUUUGAAGUAUGGCAUGUAUAGGCUAGUAGUUGUGAAGUAUGUUUUGUGAUGUAAAAAGUUAGCCAUGAAAUUUAGCUAAUUUGUGUUUGAACUCAUAUUUGAUAAUGGCUUAUGAUAUGUGAUGUUAAUUUGCAACUAUGGCAUGUCUUAGUUGGAUAAAGUAGAAGGUAGGUUUGAUGAGUGCUUGGUAUGAGAAUGAAUGAUGUAUGUUUUAGAAUGAAGAAUGGUUGAUUGGGUUAUACAUAUACGCUUGUUGCCUUGUUGUAGGUUGACCCAUAAUGGGUGGCAAGUUGGCUUAAACAAGUCUGCAUUAUGCCAUACGGUCAGGAGACAUAGGCAUGCCUUGUGGACGUGUAAGAAAAACAAUAUUCUAUUAAGAAUCACACGGCCUUGACACACAGGCGUGUCAUAUGGCCGUGGGCAUAAGUCAGUAGCUAGCUAAGUAUCACACGGCCAUAGCACACGGGCGUAUCUAUUGGCUGUGGGUGAAAGUCAGUAUGGUCACUCUGUUUUAGCAUGGUUGGUUCAAAUAGGUGUGUUUGAUAGCCGUGUAAGGCAUACGGCCUAGUCCCACAGGCGUGUGACAUUAACAGAAUAGAAAAAUUUCCUAGUUGUUGGAAGUCGUGAACAUGUUCGGUUUAGUCCCGACCUUUUCCUAAUGCAUGUUUAAGGUCUCAUUGACCUAAGAAAGGGACUUAUGUUGAUGUUUGACUAUGAUGCUAUGAUGUUUGUGAAAUGAAUGCGAAGUAUUUCGAUAUGUUUGGUAAUGCCGCUUAACCCUAGUCCGGCGAUAAAUACAGGUUAGGGGUGUUAUAGGAUUAGUAUUUUGUGAAGCAAAUGUUUAGAAUUGAGAUGAGCAUGUGUGCUGAGUUAGGCACAUAGUCUAAAAUAGGUAAUUGAUCAUUUAAGUAUACUUUGGAAGAAUUUUUAGUAUGUUUAAAAGUGGUCAAAUGAAUGUGCUUGUGGAUAUCAUGUUGUAUGUGUGAUUAGUACAUGAUAUAAUCUUGAUAUUGGUUAGUUUUGAAGGCUGAUUUAUGCUAUGAUUAUAUGUAUAUUGAGGUGUGCAGGUUGGAACCUCUUUGGGUAAGAAAAAUGGUUUGGAAAAUAGCCUAUUUGGUCUACACAGGCAGAGACACGAGCGUGUAUUUCAGUCGUGUGUGGCACACGGUUAGAUGGCACAGCCAUGUGUCCCUUGUGACAAAUACGGGUUAGGGGUGUUACAGGCCAGAUUCAUGGGCAAAGAAAUGCAUAAAAUGCUCUCCGCAUCCUUAUCUAUAAAGUACUCGGAGGCUCGUGAAGGUUGAAAUUUGAUCGGAGUCACAUCACACUAUCCCUUAGACUUCUCGGUAUAUGAAACAAGCUUACUUUUGAUGUAAUGGCAUGUAAAGGCUAAAAUAGAUCAAAUGAUGAAAUAUUUUGGUUGUAACUAGCCAUAGAAAUGGCUAGUGUUGAGCAUACUUUGAUGUAAUUAUAUAAGUCUUUAUAAUGUUUGAUAUGUGUUGAAAUGGUUAUAUGGUGGAGAGUAUAUAAACCUAUUGAUGAAUGGUUUCAAAUUAGUAUAAUUGAUAAAA